UCAAGCUUUGUUCACCACCGUCGCAAUUUCAAUUUCGCUGGCGUUAAUUUGAUUGCUUAUCACUGUGUUUGAUCGAUCAUGGUAGUUUUAGGGUUUGAUCUGAGGAAACCAAAAGAUUCACCCUUUUGUUUAUUUAUAUGGGAGCUGGAAUUAGAUGUGGGUUGGGUUGAGUGAGACGAGUAAUGUAGUGGAAAAUGAGGACUGAUUCCGUCGGAAACCUUAUUUUCUUUGUCAAUUUUUGUAAAGAUUGAAUCUUUUUGUGCUUCUUCUGUGUUGCCUCUUUGACAUUUGCCUAGUGGGCGAUUCCUGGUUUUUGUUUUCAUUUUAUUGUUUUUCUCUCCAAUUUUCAUUUCCUGUGUUGAUUCUUUCUCUCAUAAUCUGCUUGUUUUUAGAUUAAUUUGAGCAAGGGAUUGUUAUUAACUUAAUUGUUACUACCCUCAGUGAAGAGAGAUCACAUAUAAUAUUAGACUCUUUUGAAAGGAAAAUACACAAAACAAGUAUGCAACCGGGCAUGAGAAAUAUCAAACAUACAACUAGUUUAUUUUCCAUAGUUCUCUGAUAUACUUUAUUUAGUUCUCAUUUAUUCUAUUCAAAAGCUUUUUUUCUUCUUGCAACUAAUGUAUUGUUUCUGCUAGUGAUCGAGAAAGUAUUAACUAUUACUAAUUUGAAUAGGUUGGGCAAAACUUUGGUUUAGAAGUGUUGCCUGUACAAGGGUAGAGGGGAAUCAGUAUAUCAUCUAUUAUUAUGGUUUCAUAUGGUUAGGAUUUUUGGACUUUUAUUUGAUACUUACUGAUUAUGUGAGGAUAUGUUCACAACUUGCUUUUAACAUGACUCAGUAGCUUGUGGGACAUGUGAUAAGGUUGUAUGAAGGUGGCUCUUGUAUGAGUUAUCCGUGCUUUUAGUUUCAGUAACAUUAAUUGAUGGAACUAUAAUGGUCAGUUGUUGAGAUAGCUUCUACAAGGAAGGUUUGAAACUAAUGAAAUUCCAGGAGUGGGAGCUGGGAAAUAACGUUACUCAGAAAUUCCUAAUAUUUGGGGAACAAGAGGGGUUGGGAUUUGGAGGCGGUUCAGUUUCGGAUUGUACCCUAUGGGGAUGUUCCUGCUUCUGAUGUUUGUACGGUUUGGCUAUGAUAAGUUCAGAAUAUGCCAAGUUUGUACUACUUUACAGGCCUGAUUUUUUUCCCCCCUUCUAAGCUCCUGGCCCAUAUUCAUGGCUAUUUUUCUUGUUAAGUACAAGUGAUAAUUCUAGCUCUUCCAAUGGGCUCUUUUAAAUCUGGAUCUUUUCCAGUUGUUAUUAGGCGUCCUUAUAAGUAAGAACCUUUUUGCUCUCUGCCUCUACACUUCAUCCUCCGUUAAUAUCAAUAGUGACAUAAGUGUGAAGGGGUCUAAGUCUACUGCUCAAUCCUUCAUGGGUGAGAAGGAUUGAGCAGUAUUGAGUUCUUUCUUCUGAUUACCCAUUUAGAUUUGUUUUUUGUUUUUUUUUUCAUCAUCAUCAUCAUCAUCAUCAUUAUUGUGAGCCCCGGUAAUUUUGUUUUGUUACUUUGAAUUUUCUCAGGCUUUGGUUACGAAUUUUAUUUAUGAGAAUUUUAAGUUCGAGCGAGUUCCGAUUAGAUAAAAUAAUUUUCGGUUAAGUUUGGAAUUAAAAGUUCUUGUUGGGCUUUGGUAUGGCCUAGUACAAGUUGAGUUAAUUCCGAAAUAUUUGAGCUAGGAAGUGGUAGUAAGGUUGGAUUUGUUUCGGUGAAGUUGGGCCUAGUGUGAUUAGUUGUAACUUGGGAUUGGUGAGUGAUCAGCUUAUAGGGGAUUAGUGUGAGAAAAUAUAAGUUGUUGAGUCACUUGAGAUUAGGGAGUCCGAAGGUGAACACCUGGCUUGAGACUUCCACGCGUUGAGAUUACCUGCAGACAACGGUUACCAUCUUACUGACACCGCUCUCCACCUAUAACUCUAGACUCUUCCGUCACUUGCAUGCAAACCAUCCUCAGAAACCACAGAUUACACCCAUUAAUCUCAUCUGCAUACACCCAAAACCAAAUCACCUUUCUUACCCACUUUUGUCAAGAAUGGAGAAACUAACCAUGGCAACGGGUUAGAAGCCACUGAAGUCCCCAUCUCCUUCUGUUGCUAGUGUAGAAGCUUGGGCUUCGGAAUUUAGACUGAGAUCAGUUCACUCCUAAGGUUUGGGAUUGGAAAAGAGUAGAGGAUUGGAGCUGGAGUUGAUCGAAAACUUUUGUCAGUUAAAAGGUGGAUUGUGCAAUAUAUAAAUCGAAGAAGAAGGAUUUUGGGUGAAGGCUCUUUGACUGGGUAUUGAUCAAAUUGAGGUUGGAUGUUGGAGUAGUGAUAGGUAGGGGGAGCUUGCUUCACAAAGGUGUUUCGGGCAGUUACCCGAGGAACGGAAGGUUCGUGACUCUCGAACUGCGUGAAAGAUAAGCAUCAGAAUCCAGGUAGGGGAUUCAGGACUCUCCUCGGUUAGUGAUUUUCUUAUAUUGUUAUUAAAUGAUGCAUGUUCGAUGGUAUGGUUUGGUUAUGUUCAAAUGCAAUGCAUACUAAUCAAACCAUGUGAGAAAUGUGAUGGCUUGAGAGCGAAGGGUGGCUCUGACUUCCUUGGGUUCGAUCCCCAAAACCUCCGGAGGGUUAGUUACACCGGUCGGACGGUGAGCGAUCGCAAUGACGACCCGAUCCGUGUGUGUAGCUAGGUAGCGGACGCUCUCGCUACGCUUACCUGGUGAUAAAUUAAAUUGAGGUAAGGUCGUGUAGUGGGUCUAUGGGACCGGCCAUCAGGUAAUAUUUGGAUUUGGCGCCAUAUUUAUUAAAGCAUCAUGCAUCAGUUUUUAAGUUAUAAAAUCUUAUAAAGUUUGUCGUUCCUUGGAAUAUUUGGUUUAAGCAUGUUUUCAUACUGGGAUCCCAAAGAUAUAUUUGCUGGUUUCAAACCUAGUCGUGGUAGAGUUCCUGUAGAGCAGCGAGGACGAAAGCUCACCCCUACAACAGUGUGGAUGCAGGUACUGUGCACUGGUGACGGGACAAUAGCGGACGGAGCUGGGUGUGUGGAACAAGUUCGGGGAAAUUUUGGAAAACCAGGGCAUCCUUCUCUGCAGUAUGAAUCAGAAUCAAGGAACAAGCUCUUUAUCUUCGCCAGAUCUCCCUAUGAAGCAGAAACGUGGACGUCCACGUAAGGAUGAGAAUUUAGUUCAUGGAGAGAGCAUGCCUGCAAUACCAGGACCUGAUAGUUUGAAGAAAAACAAGCAGACUGCCGGUACUAACGAUGAUGUCGAAGAUGAAAUGGUGGGUCGGGUGGUUUCUGGUGUUAUUGAAGGUUCAUUUGAUGCCGGCUAUCUUCUGAAUGUUGAGGUAGAAGACACAGACACUCAGCUGAGGGCUGUUGUAUUUCUACCAGGAAAGUUCACUCCAGUCACUGCAGCAAAUGAUGUUGCUCCUAAUGUUAAGAUGUGCAAAAGAAAAGAAGUUCCAAUACCAGCUGUCAACCUGCAAUCUCAUGUUUAUGGUUCUGCCCGGCCAUCAGAGCAAAGUAACAGGCAACCUUCUGAGGUGAAAAAGCAAAUACCUGCAGUUCCAGACCAAAUUCCACCCCGUAUUCCUCAGUGUGGCAUCCCGGAGUCUCUUAGAAGUCAAUCUUUCUCUGGCAUCCCGGAGUCUCUUAGCCAACGCAUCUCGGAGUCUCUUAGAAGUCGAUCUUUCUCUGGCAUCCCGGAGUCUCUUAGAAGCCAACCAACCUCUUUUGUAAUUCCUCCGGUUGAUAAUUUGCCAAAAGAUGAUGCCCCUACCUUAGGAGGUUAAGUCAUACCACAGCAACAGUUGGAGCCUGGACUUGAUAACCAAUCCACCCAUGUCAUGACAAAGUCCGAGAAUGAUGAAGUUGUUGAACAGGAAAAAGUGUUGGAGGAAGUUGAACCGGCCACAACAAUAACAGAGCCAACUGGUGUAGAGGACGACGUAAAGAGCCUGAAAUUUGAAGUCAACCAAACUCCUCUAUUUGCUGAAGCUGCUCCUGCAAUGGCUAUCAUACCAAGCGUUGAAACUGUAUGCAAGGCUCCUCAAAUUCAACCUCAAGACUGUGGAUACUGAAAAGAGUCAAUUGGUUGAUGAUGAGGUAAAGAGUGUGAACGUUGAACUCAAUCAAACUCCUGUAUUUGCUGAACCUACACCAAGCUCUGUCAUACUGGGAGUUGAGACUGUAUGUAAGGAUCCUCAAAUUCAACCAGAGGAUGUGGGUUCUGAAAAGAGUGCAUUGGUUCAGGAUGUGGUAAAGAGCCUAGAUCUUGAACUCAACCAAACUCCUCUGGUUACAGAACCUGCAUUCACUGCCAGUAAACCAGUUGAGAAUCUGAUGGAAGAAGAGGCUGCACCAAAGCCGAGUCAGGUGUUAGGGGGAGGUACUGUUGCAUCUAUAGGAUCCAUUCCUUCAGCCAUGGGUGAACCUCCUUCUGGUGCUGUUGACAGUAUGGAAUGUGAUAUUGCAGAUGCCAUUCCACCAGCACAAUCUUGGAUCAGCUCCGUAGUACCAGGCUGGUUGGGCCGGUUUUUUCAUUUCAGUCACAAUUAAUGAUUUUUGGAUGAUGUUGCUCUUUUUUUUUUCAGUUGUUUGAUGGCUAUCAGUGCCUAUCACUCCAGUUUAUUUUGGAGACCUAUCUUGCAGACAAUUACAGAAGUUUGUUGUUUUUCGCUUUUCCCAUAGCAUAUUUGAGUUUUUCUAUUGGGGCCUCUAUAUUUUCUCA
This is an RNA transcript of Rosa rugosa (rugosa rose), 4727 nucleotides long. It is a transcript of the gene named protein METABOLIC NETWORK MODULATOR 1-like, with no coding region annotated. The record is from RefSeq and is a predicted model, not a curated record. NCBI's taxonomy places the organism in Eukaryota, Viridiplantae, Streptophyta, Magnoliopsida, Rosales, Rosaceae. The transcript has 5 exons.